GGCGCCAUAGCCAAGUGGUAAGGCAGAGGUCUGCAAAACCUCGACUCGCCGGUUCGAAUCCGGCUGGCGCCU
RNAcentral lists this transfer RNA (72 nucleotides) under Paenalicyclobacillus macrosporangiidus. Its description in RNAcentral is "Alicyclobacillus macrosporangiidus tRNA". It matches the Rfam family "tRNA". From Rfam's summary of the family: Transfer RNA (tRNA) molecules are approximately 80 nucleotides in length. Their secondary structure includes four short double-helical elements and three loops (D, anti-codon, and T loops). Lineage: Bacteria; Bacillati; Bacillota; Bacilli; Caryophanales; Alicyclobacillaceae. The record is from Rfam by way of RNAcentral.